RNAcentral lists this transfer RNA (72 nucleotides) under Phrynosoma platyrhinos (Desert horned lizard). Its description in RNAcentral is "tRNA-OTHER". Lineage: Eukaryota; Metazoa; Chordata; Lepidosauria; Squamata; Phrynosomatidae. The record is from RNAcentral.
GCCAGCAUGCCAUAGUGGUUUGAGUAUUGGAUUACAACUCUGGAGAUCAGGGUUCAAUUCCCAGCUCAGCCA